This 245-nucleotide ribosomal RNA is filed under the name uncultured bacterium. Its description in RNAcentral is "partial 16S ribosomal RNA". It matches the Rfam family "Bacterial small subunit ribosomal RNA", at positions 533 to 776 of the family's 1533-position model. The record is from RNAcentral.
UGCGAGCGUUAAUCGGAAUUACUGGGCGUAAAGCGUGCGCAGGCGGUUUUUUAAGUCCGGUGUGAAAGCCCUGGGCUUAACCUAGGAAUUGCGCUUGAGACUGGAUAGCUUGGAGUGGGGCAGAGGGAGGUGGAAUUCCACGUGUAGCAGUGAAAUGCGUAGAGAUGUGGAGGAACACCGAUGGCGAAGGCAGCCUCCUGGGCCAGCACUGACGCUCAUGCACGAAAGCGUGGGGAGCAAACAGG